GUCGCCAUUUUGUUGGUCGAAAGAAUAAUACAAAAGAGAAAAAAAAAAACAUUUCCUGUUCGAUUUUUUUCUUUUUUCCUCUCUCUCUCUCGGUUGCGAUUGAAUCGACAAAACGAUUGAUGAAUUUGGAAUCAGAAGCUUGAAGGUUUUGAAUCGAAAGACCUGGAAUCAGAAGAAAGAUGUAAAAUACCUUAUGUGUGGAAUACUUUUGUGGAAAUUGAUGGGUCAAGUCGAUAUCUUUAACCUGAGUACCAAACAUCUUCAACUCUGUAGAUUCAUGAAUAAUGUGAACAUGGUAGCUUCUCAAAUGAUCCGAGGUUGAACAAUGCGGUGGGACAUCUUCUUUAUUCCUCUAUUCUUGUACUUUACCAUGGCUGGUGAGUUUAGCUUUCAAUUCAUUAUAAUUCAAUAAACCAUUUGCAGAACAGUAUCUGCCUCAAAUUGAAAAAAUCUGUGAAGCUGUUGAGAAAGUUGUGGUUUGAUGUGGUGUUGUGGAGGUUUCAGAGCGGUGGUGUUGUGGAGGUUUCAGAGCGGAUCCGUUUGAGGCUUUGAUGUGGCUCUGUUGGUGGCUCAGUUUAUGUUGCCUUGUAUGUAGCUGUUUGUUGUUUGUAGUUUUUUUUGUUCAGGCUGCGACUUUGGCGAAGUGUGGAGGAGUUAAUGAGCUUUUGUCACCCCUGGGGGAAGUGUGUAGGGGAGUCUGAUGUUGUGAGUAAGGUGGAGUCGGCUUAUCCAUCUCUCGUGCUAGCAGCAGCAUUGGAUUCUGAUAAGCAUUUCCCAAGCCGCUAGCAUUGGAUGCUGCACAUAUUUCUAGCGUUUGAGCUCCUAUGAACAGAGAUGCAAUGAAAUGCAUUGUUAGUGUUUUUGUGAAAUCCUAUGAACAGAGAUGGAUGAGAAUGGUGUGUAUAAAUGCUGCAAAGAUAAGCUUGUUUGUAUUGAUAUCAAUCCGGUUGAGACAGAAAUCCGUUUGAUGCAGUCAUUGACGGUCUUCUCUUUCCCUUUUAUUUUAUUGUUUCUUUUAGAUCAGCUAAUGUCUCUCUUUGUUGCAGAUCAUGAGGAACCAGCUAAUGUCUCUCUUUUACGGUCUCCUGUUUCUCAAUGGGAAGAGGCCGUGGCAGAUGCACACAAAGCAAUUGAGUUGGAUCCUUCACUGACCAAAGUUUAUCUAAGAAAGGAACUGCUUGUAUGAAGCUUGAAGAUUAUCUGACUGUGAAAACAGCUCUUGAAAAGGGUGUUUCCAUUGCAAAUGGACCUAGUGACUCCAAAUUUAAGAAGUUGAUAGAUGAAUGCGAUCUGCAAAUCACAGCUGAGUGUUGCGAUUGAUGUUCGUGGAGAGGAGGCGUAUUAUCUGCAACCGAGAUUGUUGGAAAGGUCAUCUUUCUCUAGCCAAAGUUCUGAGAUACUUGAUAAGGAUCUUUACAAGGAUCAUGAAACUAUGUAUGUUUUACUCUUCUCUUCAAAUGAGUAUCUCUUUAUGUUUUUCUGUAAUUCGCUUCAUUCUCUCUGUGUUUAUCUUGUUUGCUUUUCAUGUAUUACGUUUGUUCUGCAAAUUUAUUCAUCUGAAUUUUUUUGUUUACGCACAAAAAUGCGUUCAAACACGAACUUACUUUAUUGGAGAUGUUACUUAUCCUAA
Non-coding RNA from Camelina sativa (false flax), 1630 nucleotides. NCBI's taxonomy places the organism in Eukaryota, Viridiplantae, Streptophyta, Magnoliopsida, Brassicales, Brassicaceae. The record is from RefSeq and is a predicted model, not a curated record.